UCUCCAGAGGCGGGCCCUGAGCCGGCACCUCCCCUUUCGGACAGCUCAAGGGGCUCAGCCAACUGGCUCACGCCUCCCCUUCAGCUUCUCUUCACGCACUCCAAGAUCUAAACCGAGAAUCGAAACUAAGCUGGGGUCCAUGGAGCCUGCACCCGCCCGAUCUCCGAGGCCCCAGCAGGACCCCGCCCGGCCCCAGGAGCCCACCAUGCCUCCCCCCGAGACCCCCUCUGAAGGCCGCCAGCCCAGCCCCAGCCCCAGCCCUACAGAGCGAGCCCCCGCUUCGGAGGAGGAGUUCCAGUUUCUGCGCUGCCAGCAAUGCCAGGCGGAAGCCAAGUGCCCGAAGCUGCUGCCUUGUCUGCACACGCUGUGCUCAGGAUGCCUGGAGGCGUCGGGCAUGCAGUGCCCCAUCUGCCAGGCGCCCUGGCCCCUAGGUGCAGACACACCCGCCCUGGAUAACGUCUUUUUUGAGAGUCUGCAGCGGCGCCUGUCGGUGUACCGGCAGAUUGUGGACGCGCAGGCUGUGUGCACCCGCUGCAAAGAGUCGGCCGACUUCUGGUGCUUUGAGUGCGAGCAGCUCCUCUGCGCCAAGUGCUUCGAGGCACACCAGUGGUUCCUCAAGCACGAGGCCCGGCCCCUAGCAGAGCUGCGCAACCAGUCGGUGCGUGAGUUCCUGGACGGCACCCGCAAGACCAACAACAUCUUCUGCUCCAACCCCAACCACCGCACCCCUACGCUGACCAGCAUCUACUGCCGAGGAUGUUCCAAGCCGCUGUGCUGCUCGUGCGCGCUCCUUGACAGCAGCCACAGUGAGCUCAAGUGUGACAUCAGCGCAGAGAUCCAGCAGCGACAGGAGGAGCUGGACGCCAUGACGCAGGCGCUGCAGGAGCAGGAUAGUGCCUUUGGCGCGGUUCACGCGCAGAUGCACGCGGCCGUCGGCCAGCUGGGCCGCGCGCGUGCCGAGACCGAGGAGCUGAUCCGCGAGCGCGUGCGCCAGGUGGUAGCUCACGUGCGGGCUCAGGAGCGCGAGCUGCUGGAGGCGGUGGACGCGCGGUACCAACGCGACUACGAGGAGAUGGCCAGUCGGCUGGGCCGCCUGGAUGCUGUGCUGCAGCGCAUCCGCACGGGCAGCGCGCUGGUGCAGAGGAUGAAGUGCUACGCCUCGGACCAGGAGGUGCUGGACAUGCACGGUUUCCUGCGCCAGGCGCUCUGCCGCCUGCGCCAGGAGGAGCCCCAGAGCCUGCAAGCUGCCGUGCGCACCGACGGCUUCGGCUUCGACGAGUUCAAGGUGCGCCUGCAGGACCUCAGCUCUUGCAUCACCCAGGGGAAAGAUGCAGCUGUAUCCAAGAAAGCCAGCCCAGAGGCUGCCAGCACUCCCAGGGACCCUAUUGACGUUGACCUGCCCGAGGAGGCAGAGAGAGUGAAGGCCCAGGUUCAGGCCCUGGGGCUGGCUGAAGCCCAGCCUAUGGCUGUGGUACAGUCAGUGCCCGGGGCACACCCCGUGCCAGUGUACGCCUUCUCCAUCAAAGGCCCUUCCUAUGGAGAGGAUGUCUCCAAUACAACCACAGCCCAGAAGAGGAAGUGCAGCCAGACCCAGUGCCCCAGGAAGGUCAUCAAGAUGGAGUCUGAGGAGGGGAAGGAGGCAAGGUUGGCUCGGAGCUCCCCGGAGCAGCCCAGGCCCAGCACCUCCAAGGCAGUCUCACCACCCCACCUGGAUGGACCGCCUAGCCCCAGGAGCCCCGUCAUAGGAAGUGAGGUCUUCCUGCCCAACAGCAACCACGUGGCCAGUGGCGCCGGGGAGGCAGGUAGGGAGAGGAACGCGUUGUGGUGAUCAGCAGCUCGGAAGACUCAGAUGCCGAAAACUCGUCCUCCCGAGAGCUGGAUGACAGCAGCAGUGAGUCCAGUGACCUCCAGCUGGAAGGCCCCAGCACCCUCAGGGUCCUGGACGAGAACCUUGCUGACCCCCAAGCAGAAGACAGACCUCUGGUUUUCUUUGACCUCAAGAUUGACAAUGAAACCCAGAAGAUUAGCCAGCUGGCUGCGGUGAACCGGGAAAGCAAGUUCCGCGUGGUCAUCCAGCCUGAAGCCUUCUUCAGCAUCUACUCCAAGGCCGUGUCCCUGGAGGUGGGGCUGCAGCACUUCCUCAGCUUUCUGAGCUCCAUGCGCCGCCCUAUCUUGGCCUGCUACAAGCUGUGGGGGCCUGGCCUCCCAAACUUCUUCCGGGCCCUGGAGGACAUUAACAGGCUGUGGGAAUUCCAGGAGGCCAUCUCGGGCUUCCUGGCUGCCCUGCCUCUCAUCCGGGAGCGUGUGCCCGGGGCCAGCAGCUUCAAACUCAAGAACCUGGCCCAGACCUACCUGGCGAGAAACAUGAGCGAGCGCAGCGCCAUGGCUGCCGUGCUGGCCAUGCGUGACCUGUGCCGCCUCCUCGAGGUCUCCCCGGGCCCCCAGCUGGCCCAGCAUGUCUACCCCUUCAGUAGCCUGCAGUGCUUUGCCUCCCUGCAGCCCCUGGUGCAGGCGGCUGUGCUGCCCCGGGCUGAGGCCCGCCUCCUGGCCCUACACAACGUGAGCUUCAUGGAGCUGCUGAGUGCACACCGCCGUGACCGGCAGGGGGGCCUGAAGAAGUACAGCCGCUAUCUAAGCCUGCAGACCACCACGUUGCCCCCUGCCCAGCCUGCUUUCAACCUGCAGGCUCUGGGCACCUACUUUGAAGGCCUGUUGGAGGGUCCGGCGCUGGCACGGGCAGAAGGAGUCUCCACCCCUCUUGCUGGCCAUGGCUUGGCAGAGAGGGCCUCCCAGCAGAGCUGAGAGGAGGGGGUGACCAGCUUGGAGUCUCUGGUGGGCAGAGAGGGAUGGGGUCCCUGAGCCAGGCCCCACCCAUCACAGCAUUCCCAGGUCCUGGUACCCAGCCCUCAGUUGUCAUUUGGUUCAGAAUCAGUUCCCUUUCUCUGGGACCAAAUUUCCCUUCUCUAAACAUCCUACAGAGAAGGUUCCAAAGCUGAGCACCCACCACCCUAGGUGUGCACCAGACUCCUAUUAGCCCCUCCUUCCAGGAGCUAGAACCAGGGAGGUCCUGAGUGAGGAAGGCAUGACCUCUGGGCUCUCUAGGUGGCCCUGGUCUUGCCCCAUCCAUCCCACCUGCCACUACCUUGGGUGUCCUUACAGCUCUGCCCUGACCCCAGCCCCUGCCCCUGGACACCUGCUGACAGCUCCCACACAGAACAGUCUGAGGUGAUGCUGGCUACAGCCCUGGCAGCCCAUGGCAACUCAAAGUGCCUUCCAAACCAAACUGCCCCUCAUGAGGUUAGGGUCCCCCACCCUCCACCUGCCCAGAGGCCAACUCUGUUCCCUUCUCCUUUCAUCCCAGAGGGGCCUCAUCAGCAAAGACAGAAACUGAUGUUCCAUGCAUGUCCCUGCUUCCAAAGCCUGACCUUCCAAAGCUUGCUUCCUUCCUCCUGGCUGCACAGACACCUCUGCUUGGCCACAGCUUUGCUCUUUGGUCCUCAGGCCACCAGACCCCUCACAGCAUGGCCCUUGGCUCUUCCUGCACUGCCCUCACCCUCAGCCGUCCCAAGGAAUGCCCAGCGCUACUCAGCAUGUAUUCCAGGACCUGCGGCAUCAGCAUCCCCUGGGAGCUUCUUAGAAAUGCAGACCUGUGGGCUCUACCACAGGCCUCUGGAAUCAGAAUCUUCAGGGUGGGGCCCAGCAGUCUGUGUUUUAACAGGUUCUCCCGGUGAUGCUGGUGCAUGCUCAAGUUUGAGAACCGCUGCUCUCAUAGACUGCUCCUCCAAGGGGAAGCAGUGUGGAACAGCAGAGAAAGUCCCGUCCCUAUCUCUGACUGUGCAGUGAGUGUGGCCUAGGAACAGGUCCCUUCCUAAGCUCUAGUGUCCCCAUCUGUAAAAUCGGCUGAUUGGCCUCCACGGUCAGAGCGGCCAUCUGGCUGUGCCAUCCUGCAUUUUUAGGAAUGGAAAGCAGGCCUCUGAGGCAGUGGACAGGAAGACUUCUCAUCCUUGAAUUCUAGCUCCCAUUCCAAACUGUUAGUCCCCAGCCUUGUGGUCACAUCAGAGGUCAACAGCAGAACAGAGGCAGGUCAGGGUUGUCCGCUCUGAUUAGCAGAACGACGGCCCCUUCCUCCUCCUCCCUCCUUCCCAUCCCUUCUCAUUAGCUCCCUGCUCCUGGGAUGCUUCCCAAGCAGCCCAGGCCUCUAGCCUCCAUGGCUGAUGACCUCAGCUUUCACACUGGUGAAAUCUGUGUACCCAUACUGCAGCCCCAUCCCAUGGGGCCCCUGAAGACCCACUGAGGAAUUCCAUAGGGUCUUGUUCCCACGACCGGAGUGCUGGCUCUCACAGUGAAUUUUGAUGCAUUUAAAAUAAGAUUCUGAUGCCAGACUGUUAAAACAGGCGCUGGUUCUGAAGCACCGAUGGAAACAGAUUGAUGCAGAUGGAAGGAGGAAGGGAGACUGGGCCCACUGAUUUCCAGCCCCACCAUGUGUGCUGUUUUCAGAUGUGAUUGAGGGGUGUUCUGCCCUGCCUCCACUGUCACAGCCUUUAAUAAAGAUGUGAAUCUUGAAA
This is an RNA transcript of Pan troglodytes (chimpanzee), 4565 nucleotides long. It is a transcript of the gene named PML nuclear body scaffold, with no coding region annotated. The transcript is spliced from 9 exons. The record is from RefSeq and is marked provisional. Lineage: Eukaryota; Metazoa; Chordata; Mammalia; Primates; Hominidae.